This 506-nucleotide ribosomal RNA is filed under the name uncultured bacterium. RNAcentral describes it as "partial 16S ribosomal RNA". It matches the Rfam family "Bacterial small subunit ribosomal RNA", at positions 29 to 523 of the family's 1533-position model. The record is from RNAcentral.
AGUGAACGCUGGCGGUAGGCCUAACACAUGCAAGUCGAACGGCAGCACAGAGGAGCUUGCUCCUUGGGUGGCGAGUGGCGGACGGGUGAGGAAUACAUCGGAAUCUACUCUGUCGUGGGGGAUAACGUAGGGAAACUUACGCUAAUACCGCAUACGACCUACGGGUCAAAGCCGGGGACCUUCGGCCCUUGCGCGAUUGAAUGAGCCGAUGUCGGAUUAGCUAGUUGGCGGGGUAAAGGCCCACCAAGGCGACGAUCCGUAGCUGGUCUGAGAGGAUGAUCAGCCACACUGGAACUGAGACACGGUCCAGACUCCUACGGGAGGCAGCAGUGGGGAAUAUUGGACAAUGGGCGCAAGCCUGAUCCAGCCAUACCGCGUGGGUGAAGAAGGCCUUCGGGUUGUAAAGCCCUUUUGUUGGGAAAGAAAUCCAGCUGGCUAAUACCCGGUUGGGAUGACGGUACCCAAAGAAUAAGCACCGGCUAACUUCGUACCAGCCGCCGCAGUAA